AAAUUUAAGAUUUAUAUUUACUAUGUAAAAAAAAUAUUUUUGAAAUUAGUAUAUUUAAGAAUUUAGAAUUAAUAUUAUAGUUAAAAGUAUAGUGAUAGGAUAUUGAAAUAUAUUGAAAUGUAAUUUUAAAAAAGAAGAAUUAAUUUUUUGUACCUUGUGUAUCAGGGUUUAUUAAAAUUAUGUAAUAAGUUAUUGUUCUCGAAUUGGAAAGAGUUAAUAUUAUAUAGAUUUAAUUGUGGCAUAAACUUUUAAAAUAUAAUAUUAGAAAUGAAACGUUAUUCGUUUUUUAAGAUAUCUAGUUUUUUAAGAAAUAGAUUUAAUCUAGUUUGUAUUAUUAUUUAGUUUAUUAGUUAAUUAGAUAAGGAUAUAAAGUAAUAUUUUAAGGGAUAAGCUUUAAAAUAGAGUAUUAAAAUUAUUUUUAUUAAUAUGAAUAAAAGUAGGAUUGGAAAUUUUUAUCAAUAGUAUGUUAUAAUUAAUUUUCAUUAUAAUAAGAUUUAUAUUUUAAUUUAAGUUAUUUAUUAAAAUGAUACAUUUAAUUUUGUAUUGUAUGUAAUAAUGAUAAAAUUAGUAUAAGGUUAAUGUAAAAAAUAUUUUAUAUUAUAAAGGUUAAGUUAAGGAACUCGGCAAAUAUAUUUUUCGCCUGUUUAUUAAAAACAUGUCUUUUUGAGUAUAAUUUAAAGUCUGACCUGCCCAAUGAGGAUUUGAAUGGCCGCGGUAUUUUGACCGUGCAAAGGUAGCAUAAUCAUUAGUUUUUUAAUUGAAAGCUGGAAUGAAUGGUUGGACGAGAAAAUAACUGUCUCAAUUUAAUUUUAAUUAGAACUUUAUUUUUAAGUUAAAAAGCUUAAAUAAAUUUAAAAGACGAGAAGACCCUAUAGAGUUUUAUAGUUUUUAGUAUAUUUUUAGUUAAGAAUCAUUAAGGUAAAUAUAUUAGAAACUAUUUUGUUGGGGUGACAGAAAAAUUGAAAUAACUUUUUUUAUAUAAUAACAUUGAUUUAUGAGUAUUUGAUCCGUUUAUUACGAUUAAAAGAUUAAAUUACCUUAGGGAUAACAGCGUAAUUUUUUUUGAGAGUUCAUAUCGAAAAAAGAGUUUGCGACCUCGAUGUUGGAUUAAAAUUAACUUUUGGUGUAGCAGCUAAAAGGUUAGGUCUGUUCGACCUUUAAAAUUUUACAUGAUCUGAGUUUAAACCGGUGUGAGCCAGGUUGGUUUCUAUCUUUAAAAAAAAAUUAUACCUUAGUACGAAAGGACCAGGUAUUAAUAAAAUUUAUUAUAUUUUGAAUAUUA
Molecule: ribosomal RNA, 1282 nt
Filed under: Glycyphana fulvistemma
Lineage: Eukaryota; Metazoa; Arthropoda; Insecta; Coleoptera; Scarabaeidae
Description: 16S ribosomal RNA
Rfam family: Archaeal large subunit ribosomal RNA (bases 852-1217)
Source: RNAcentral